RNAcentral lists this ribosomal RNA (961 nucleotides) under Macropostrongyloides dissimilis. Its description in RNAcentral is "16S ribosomal RNA". The record is from RNAcentral. Lineage: Eukaryota; Metazoa; Nematoda; Chromadorea; Rhabditida; Strongylidae.
AAAUUAGUUUUAUAUAAAGUUUGGUAUUGCAUAUCAUUUAAAAAAAAUUUUAUAAUAAUAAAUAAUAAAAUUAAAAGGUAGAAAAAUUUAUUAUUUUUAUUGUUUCAUAAUAAAAAUUAUAAUUUUUAGGGUUGAAAAGUCGACUUUUAAGAUAUUUGUGUUUUUGUGUAUAAUUAGAAAUUUAUUAUGAUGAUAAUUGUUAAUUAUAAACAGUAAAAGUUGAAGUAUUUUUAUUUCUAGUUUUAUAACAGUUUAUUUGAAGAUUGAUUAGAUUUUUAUUAUAUGUAAUAAAAUUGUAUUGCAUAUAUUAUUUUAAAAUUAGUAAUUUUGUUUGAAUAUUAUUUAGGUUUUUAAUAUAAUUAGAAAACUCAGAAGUUAAUCAAAUGUUUAUUAAAGACUUAGACUCUUAUAUAGAGUUGGCUUCUGCCCAGUGAUGUAAAUUUAAAUGGCAGUCUUAGCGUGAGGACAUUAAGGUAGCAAAAUAAUUUGUGCUUUUAUUGAGUUCCAGUAUGAAUGAAGUUAUUGGUUAAUUUAUUUUUUAAUUUUUAAAUGAAAUUUUAUUUAAUAUAAAAAAGUAUUAAUAUAAUAAGACAAAGAUAAGUCUUCGGAAAUUCUUUUUUAGUAUUUAUGUUUAAAUUUAUAUUAAAAAUUUUCUAGGGCAGAAUUUUAUAUAAUUAUUAUUUCUAUUAAUAAUUUUAAGAAUUACUCCGGAGUUAACAGAAAAUCAUAUCUGAUCUAGUUCUUAUAGUAAGAUAAGUUUUACAUCGAUGUUGUAUUUAAGUUUAUUAAAAAAGGAGAAGAUUUAAAAUUUAAGACUGUUCUUCUUUUAAUUAAUUUAACGUGAUAUUAGUUUAAUUCAUUGUGAGAUAGAAUUGUUUAUCUUGUUUAUUAUUAAGAUUUAGUUUUAAUAGUACGAAAGGAAAAUUAAAAAAAGUUUAAAACUUUUAUAGGUUGUGGCUUA